Molecule: ribosomal RNA, 363 nt
Filed under: uncultured bacterium
Lineage: Bacteria
Description: bacterial SSU rRNA
Rfam family: Bacterial small subunit ribosomal RNA
Source: RNAcentral
AGCGAACGCUGGCGGCAUGCCUUACACAUGCAAGUCGAACGGCAGCGGGCCUUCGGGUGCCGGCGAGUGGCGAACGGGUGAGUAAUGCAUCGGAACGUGCCAUUGAGUGGGGGGAUAACGUAGCGAAAGUUGCGCUAAUACCGCAUAUUCUGUGAGCAGGAAAGCAGGGGACCGCAAGGCCUUGCGCUCUUUGAGCGGCCGAUGUCAGAUUAGCUAGUUGGUAGGGUAACGGCCUACCAAGGCCACGAUCGGUAGCUGGUCUGAGAGGAUGAUCAGCCACACUGGGACUGAGACACGGCCCAGACUCCUACGGGAGGCAGCAGUGGGGAAUAUUGGACAAUGGGCGCAAGCCUGAUCCAGCAA